RNAcentral lists this ribosomal RNA (253 nucleotides) under uncultured bacterium. RNAcentral's name for it is "partial 16S ribosomal RNA". It matches the Rfam family "Bacterial small subunit ribosomal RNA", at positions 524 to 776 of the family's 1533-position model. The record is from RNAcentral.
UACGUAGGGGGCAAGCGUUGUCCGGAAUCAUUGGGCGUAAAGAGCGUGCAGGCGGCCCGGUAAGUCCGCUGUGAAAGUCGGGGGCUCAACCCUCGAAUGCCGGUGGAUACUGUCGGGCUAGAGUGCGGAAGAGGCGAGUGGAAUUCCUGGUGUAGCGGUGAAAUGCGCAGAUAUCAGGAGGAACACCAAUUGCGAAGGCAGCUCGCUGGGACGUUACUGACGCUAAGGCGCGAAAGCGUGGGGAGCGAACAGG